ACUCCUACGGGAGGCAGCAGUAGGGAAUCUUCGGCAAUGGGGGCAACCCUGACCGAGCAACGCCGCGUGAGUGAAGAAGGUUUUCGGAUCGUAAAGCUCUGUUGUAAGUCAAGAACGAGUGUGAGAGUGGAAAGUUCACACUGUGACGGUAGCUUACCAGAAAGGGACGGCUAACUACGUGCCAGCAGCCGCGGUAAUACGUAGGUCCCGAGCGUUGUCCGGAUUUAUUGGGCGUAAAGCGAGCGCAGGCGGUUUGAUAAGUCUGAAGUUAAAGGCUGUGGCUCAACCAUAGUUCGCUUUGGAAACUGUCAAACUUGAGUGCAGAAGGGGAGAGUGGAAUUCCAUGUGUAGCGGUGAAAUGCGUAGAUAUAUGGAGGAACACCGGUGGCGAAAGCGGCUCUCUGGUCUGUAACUGACGCUGAGGCUCGAAAGCGUGGGGAGCGAACAGGAUUAGAUACCCCUGUAGUCCCAUG
This 473-nucleotide ribosomal RNA is filed under the name uncultured organism. RNAcentral's name for it is "partial 16S ribosomal RNA". It matches the Rfam family "Bacterial small subunit ribosomal RNA", at positions 335 to 799 of the family's 1533-position model. The record is from RNAcentral.